Molecule: non-coding RNA, 95 nt
Organism: Mycena latifolia
Lineage: Eukaryota; Fungi; Basidiomycota; Agaricomycetes; Agaricales; Mycenaceae
Source: the annotation of a GenBank genome assembly
GACCUGGUAGCAUAAUGGUUAAUGCACCUGCAUUCAGUCACGCAGAAACCUAGUGUUUUAUGCAGAGGAUCGUCGUUCGAUUCGGGGUCAAGUCG